Molecule: ribosomal RNA, 638 nt
Filed under: uncultured bacterium
Lineage: Bacteria
Description: bacterial SSU rRNA
Rfam family: Bacterial small subunit ribosomal RNA
Source: RNAcentral
UGAUGGCGACCGGCGCACGGGUGAGUAACACGUAUCCAACCUUCCGUUUACUCAGGGAUAGCCUUUCGAAAGAAAGAUUAAUACCUGAUAGUAUGGUGAGAUUGCAUGAUAGCACCAUUAAAGAUUUAUCGGUGAUGGAUGGGGAUGCGUCUGAUUAGCCUGUUGGCGGGGUAACGGCCCACCAAGGCGACGAUCAGUAGGGGUUCUGAGAGGAAGGUCCCCCACAUUGGAACUGAGACACGGUCCAAACUCCUACGGGAGGCAGCAGUGAGGAAUAUUGGUCAAUGGACGAGAGUCUGAACCAGCCAAGUAGCGUGCAGGAUGACGGCCCUAUGGGUUGUAAACUGCUUUUAUAAGGGAAUAAAGUGAGUCUCGUGAGACUUUUUGCAUGUACCUUAUGAAUAAGGACCGGCUAAUUCCGUGCCAGCAGCCGCGGUAAUACGGAAGGUCCGGGCGUUAUCCGGAUUUAUUGGGUUUAGAGGGAGCGUAGGCCGGAGAUUAAGCGUGUUGUGAAAUGUAGACGCUCAACGUCUGCACUGCAGCGCGAACUGGUUUCCUUGAGUACGCACAAAGUGGGCGGAAUUCGUGGUGUAGCGGUGAAAUGCUUAGAUAUCACGAAGAACUCCGAUUGCGAAGGC